Molecule: microRNA precursor, 81 nt
Filed under: Chinchilla lanigera (long-tailed chinchilla)
Lineage: Eukaryota; Metazoa; Chordata; Mammalia; Rodentia; Chinchillidae
Description: microRNA 29b-2 (ENSCLAG00000021338.1)
Rfam family: mir-29 microRNA precursor family (bases 6-76)
About the family: This family represents the microRNA (miRNA) precursors mir-29. Animal miRNAs are transcribed as ~70nt precursors and subsequently processed by the Dicer enzyme to give a ~22nt product.
Source: RNAcentral
CUUCUGGAAGCUGGUUUCACAUGGUGGCUUAGAUUUUUUGAUCUUUGUAUCUAGCACCAUUUGAAAUCAGUGUUUUAGGAG